This 497-nucleotide ribosomal RNA is filed under the name uncultured bacterium. RNAcentral's name for it is "partial 16S ribosomal RNA". It matches the Rfam family "Bacterial small subunit ribosomal RNA", at positions 28 to 507 of the family's 1533-position model. The record is from RNAcentral.
GAUGAACGCUGGCGGCGUGCCUAAUACAUGCAAGUCGAGCGAACGGACGAGAAGCUUGCUUCUCUGAUGUUAGCGGCGGACGGGUGAGUAACCCGUGGAUAACCUCCCUAUAAGACUGGGAUAACUUCGGGAAACCGGAGCUAAUACCGGAUAAUAUUUUGAACCGCAUGGUUCACAAGUGAAAAACGGUCUUGCUGUCACUUAUAGAUGGAUCCGCGCUGCAUUAGCUAGUUGGUAAGGUAACGGCUUACCAAGGCAACGAUGCAUAGCCGACCUGAGAGGGUGAUCGGCCACACUGGAACUGAGACACGGUCCAGACUCCUACGGGAGGCAGCAGUAGGGAAUCUUCCGAAAUGGGCGAAAGCCUGACGGAGCAACGCCGCGUGAGUGAUGAAGGUCUUCGGAUCGUAAAACUCUGUUAUUAGGGAAGAACAUAUGUGUAAGUAACUGUGCACAUCUUGACGGUACCUAAUCAGAAAGCCACGGCUAACUACGUG